This is a non-coding RNA of Canis lupus familiaris (dog), 89 nucleotides long. NCBI's taxonomy places the organism in Eukaryota, Metazoa, Chordata, Mammalia, Carnivora, Canidae. The record is from Rfam.
CGGGAGAGGCGGGAUCCUGGGCUGUGUCCCGGCGCCCUGUGCUCCGGGGCCUGCGCUGUUGGAUUCGCGCUCACGCCCCGCAGCCCCCU